UACGGGGGGGGCAAGCGUUGUUCGGAAUUACUGGGCGUAAAGGGCUCGUAGGCGGCCAACUAAGUCAGACGUGAAAUCCCUCGGCUUAACCGGGGAACUGCGUCUGAUACUGGUUGGCUUGAAUCCGGGAGAGGGAUGUGGAAUUCCAGGUGUAGCGGUGAAAUGCGUAGAUAUCUGGAGGAACACCGGUGGCGAAGGCGGCAUCCUGGACCGGUAUUGACGCUGAGGAGCGAAAGCGUGGGUAGCAAACAGG
This 253-nucleotide ribosomal RNA is filed under the name uncultured bacterium. RNAcentral describes it as "partial 16S ribosomal RNA". It matches the Rfam family "Bacterial small subunit ribosomal RNA", at positions 524 to 776 of the family's 1533-position model. The record is from RNAcentral.